GUCGACGAUGAAGCCCAGCUUGCUGGGUGGAUUAGUGGCGAACGGGUGAGNAACACGUGAGUAACCUGCCCUUAACUCUGGGAUAAGCCUGGGAAACUGGGUCUAAUACCGGAUAGGAGCGUCUACCGCAUGGUGGGUGUUGGAAAGAUUUAUCGGUUUUGGAUGGACUCGCGGCCUAUCAGCUUGUUGGUGAGGUAAUGGCUCACCAAGGCGACGACGGGUAGCCGGCCUGAGAGGGUGACCGGCCACACUGGGACUGAGACACGGCCCAGACUCCUACGGGAGGCAGCAGUGGGGAAUAUUGCACAAUGGGCGAAAGCCUGAUGCAGCGACGCCGCGUGAGGGAUGACGGCCUUCGGGUUGUAAACCUCUUUCAGUAGGGAAGAAGCGAAAGUGACGGUACCUGCAGAAGAAGCACCGGCUAACUACGUGCCAGCAGCCGCGGUAAUACGUAGGGUGCGAGCGUUAUCCGGAAUUAUUGGGCGUAAAGAGCUCGUAGGCGGUUUGUCGCGUCUGUCGUGAAAGUCCGGGGCUUAACCCCGGAUCUGCGGUGGGUACGGGCAGACUAGAGUGCAGUAGGGGAGACUGGAAUUCCUGGUGUAGCGGUGGAAUGCGCAGAUAUCAGGAGGAACACCGAUGGCGAAGGCAGGUCUCUGGGCUGUAACUGACGCUGAG
RNAcentral lists this ribosomal RNA (675 nucleotides) under Micrococcus sp. De-Pa41. RNAcentral's name for it is "bacterial SSU rRNA". It matches the Rfam family "Bacterial small subunit ribosomal RNA", at positions 61 to 750 of the family's 1533-position model. The record is from RNAcentral. Lineage: Bacteria; Bacillati; Actinomycetota; Actinomycetes; Micrococcales; Micrococcaceae.